GUAUGUAUAGCUCAGUGGUAGAGUGAAUGCCUAGCAUGCAUGAGGUCCUGGGUUCAAUAUCCAGAACUUCCA
RNAcentral lists this transfer RNA (72 nucleotides) under Camelus dromedarius (Arabian camel). It matches the Rfam family "tRNA". From Rfam's summary of the family: Transfer RNA (tRNA) molecules are approximately 80 nucleotides in length. Their secondary structure includes four short double-helical elements and three loops (D, anti-codon, and T loops). Further hydrogen bonds mediate the characteristic L-shaped molecular structure. tRNAs have two regions of fundamental functional importance: the anti-codon, which is responsible for specific mRNA codon recognition, and the 3' end, to which the tRNAs corresponding amino acid is attached (by aminoacyl-tRNA synthetases). tRNAs cope with the degeneracy of the genetic code in two manners: having more than one tRNA (with a specific anti-codon) for a particular amino acid; and 'wobble' base-pairing, i.e. permitting non-standard base-pairing at the 3rd anti-codon position. Lineage: Eukaryota; Metazoa; Chordata; Mammalia; Artiodactyla; Camelidae. The record is from Rfam by way of RNAcentral. RNAcentral also lists the same sequence under 1 other name.